UAACUGGGUGCUCUAUUGUAACUUCAGCAGAUGCAACUGCAAUCAAUGAUCAAUCUCUUUCAUGGAGCUCCUUGGCUAGUAAGGAAAGAUGGGAGAGCUACUCGUUUCCUUGGAAGAGUAAUUCUACCAUUCCAGCCUGUGUUAUAUAUGACUCAAAACUUCAGAUGUGGGAUUUUGCUGGCACCUGGUUUUAUUCUCUGAAAGAUCACAACAAAGAAAUAAACAGAUUUUUACCAGUC
Anolis carolinensis (green anole) is the source of this 239-nucleotide long non-coding RNA. RefSeq lists it as uncharacterized. The transcript has 2 exons. Lineage: Eukaryota; Metazoa; Chordata; Lepidosauria; Squamata; Anolidae. The record is from RefSeq and is a predicted model, not a curated record.